This 233-nucleotide long non-coding RNA is filed under the name Bos taurus (domestic cattle). RNAcentral's name for it is "long non-coding RNA NONBTAT026216". Lineage: Eukaryota; Metazoa; Chordata; Mammalia; Artiodactyla; Bovidae. The record is from RNAcentral.
UUGAAAAUUAGCUAUUGAUGCUUUCUAGGUAGCUAUUAUGAUGAUAUUGUCAAUGCCGAAUAAGUUUUCUGAUUGUGACAACAUAUGGUAAAGGUUAGUCACUGGCUAAUGCCACAUACCCUAGGGUACAUGGGGCAAUAUGAAGCAAGAGAGUCGCUUUGAGUAAAGAACCACUUCUCUGUUGGAGUUAUUGACCACAUAGUGCCACUACUAAUUUAUUUCCAGCUUCCUCU